Molecule: long non-coding RNA, 2480 nt
Organism: Chelonia mydas (Green sea turtle)
Lineage: Eukaryota; Metazoa; Chordata; Testudines; Cheloniidae
Exons: 4
Source: RefSeq, a predicted model, not a curated record
GCCCCUGGCUGGGGGACUGAGGGGUGGGUCUAGGAGCUGCUUUCUGGCCACAAGUGCUCAAGGGGUGGACAGAGUUUGGUUCCGGCUGCAAUGGCUUAAGCUGGGGGGCAGGCCCUGAGAACUGAGGCAAGGGUGAAGAUAUAGGGGCCAGGUGGGAAAAGGUCCAGGGAGGUAGCAGCAAAGAAUUGAAGUGAGCGGAGCGUGGCUGCUGUUUAUAGGGUCCCUGAGUCAGAACCUGGAGCAGGGGAUAGACCUGGGGUUCCCCCACGAGCGAAGUGGUGCAAGCCCUGAUAAUGGGACAAGGCUACCUUGGAAGCCCAAGCAAAGGGCUGAAUUUAAAGGGCCCAGAGCAGGGGCUGAAGACCCUGGUGAGAGCAGACGAGUUUUUUGUUGGAUUCUUUGCUACCCCCAGAAGGGAUUCAUUUUGACUGUGUGACCCAGUUUGAGGACCGAGCCAGUGAAGACCUGCCAAGUAAGGCCAACAACUUACAGGUGGUGCCAGGAGUGGGGAAAGGACCACACAGCAGCAGCAGGGUGUGCUCAAGAGAUAAACCCCACCAGUGGCAUGUUUAUGAACAUUCUCACACUUCAGGAAUACAUGAAGGAGACCAUCCUGGAGCUACUUGACCACAAGAACCUGGAUCAGGAUGUGCCCCAUUUUGCUGAUGUUGUAAGACUGGAGCUAUGUCCUGCAUGAUGAAGCUGUCUUGGCCAAGAGAGUGGAACAUAUCCUGAAAAUAUUUCACCAUGGGGUACGCUGUAUUAACAUCAGUUGCCAGAGAAGGAAUCAUUCCACAGUAGCCAAUAUUCAUAAAAUAGCAGACAGAAAAACUUUCUCUCAAAUCAGUCCUUUAUAUAAAUAAUGACAGAUACUUUGAUGUAUUAUAAAGUAUGAACAAUCUCAUAGUGUCAUGUGAUAACAGACUUUUAUUUUAACCAAAGGGAAAAAAAUACAGGAAAAUGCAUAAAAUAUAUCUCCUGGGGCUAAAUAUUUUCCAAACUUUCCAAAACUGUUCUAUUUUGAAUAUAUAAGUGCAUUAUCAUUUGCAUUUAGAAACCAUUUGCCAAUUUUGGUCAAAAUUAGACUACGUUUCUUUGACUUAUGGCUCUUUUUGUGAUUUUAUGAUUUUUUUUUCAGUUUGGCUGUCCCAGAACAAUCAAACAUUACAUGCUGUAAAAAAACAGCACCACUUCCAACAUCUAUACCCACCCUGAUGAUGACCACCAGCUGUGUCCCUAGCAAUGUGGUAGCAAGGACAUUUUUCUAGCUGAUAGGUUACACUAAGUUGUUAAUAAGACCCUUUUAGAUCUGGCUCGUAGACGAUAGGCAAAACUUGCUGGAGAAAUGAGGCAGGACUGGAAGAGCAGGAGGGCUGCAGGCCAGGACUAACGUGCAUCCACAGAGCUAAAUUAGGGAAACUUUGUCCAACACACGCCUUCACUUUGCUCGACUUUGGACAGCACUGUUAGUCUCCCAUCACAAUCAUAAACACACACAGGUGACCUGAAAGUAAAAGAUAACAUAUGCCCUUCCUGGAUCUCACUUAAUGGCAGGGUUAUAGGAACCCCUGCUUUGUCAUAUGUAAAUCUCUAGGGGCCCAGGGCAUUUACAAUCUCCUUUAAAGUAUUUGUGGGAGAUAUCAACAACUUCAUUAGCAGUCUGAAAAAGGUAUCACAUGUUUUGCAUUCGUCUCUGCAGGGUUCUGAGAAACAGAAAGGCUUUGUGAAUCAUCAAAGGCUUAAUGGCUGUUCUGAUCCUGCCCAGCUAUGUCACAGUGACCUCCCUGGCAGCGAAUGAGAACAAUCCAUUACCCUACUGCAUCAGACUGGCAAGAACUGCAGCUGUAUUGCAAACCCCUUUUCUAGCCACAGUCCACAGUGAAAGGCGCUGGCUGAGCUGCAGCUUCAAAGGAAACAACAUUUGAGAAAAACUCAAUUCAUCUGAUAAGGCCAAUGGGCGCAGAACGCUCUCCCUCUGCAUGGUGCUGACAUGAAUUUGCAGCCAGUUACACCCUAAUGUGGCAGCUUUACUAGGAGCGAAAUACGCCAGGGAGCUCUGAUAAUGGGAGUUUUCUCUCUGCCAAAAUUGAACAAUGGAGGAGAAAAUUCCCUUCUCCCCCUCUCCUAGCCCCUGCUCCUUUGCAGCUGAUAGAGGCCCAGCAGGAAAGCUGAGCAAAAACAGCUCAGGCAGGGGCAUCGUACACAGCUGUGUUCUUGCUCUGCUUAAGCUGUUACAGCUUACAAGGAAGCAGUCUAGGUAUUUUUCAUGACUAUGAAUACCAGGUUUAGCAUAGCUGAUGGGCAUAAAAGGGCCCCUCUCCCUCCACCAGUGUUAAACUGAGGUCAAGGUUAAAUAUUAGAUAAGCCUCAUUAAACCUUUCUAACUCAUUUUGAUUUAUUAUUCCUUUGUGGUACACAUAUUUCUGUGUUUGACUAUCGAACGAUUGCCCCAUCUGACCUCAUUUUGAAACUGUACUUGU